Long non-coding RNA from Eurytemora carolleeae, 613 nucleotides. RefSeq lists it as uncharacterized. The transcript has 3 exons. The record is from RefSeq and is a predicted model, not a curated record. NCBI's taxonomy places the organism in Eukaryota, Metazoa, Arthropoda, Copepoda, Calanoida, Temoridae.
AUAGGUGUGAAUGCGUGUACACUCUGGAUCAUGAGGCAAAAGAAAUGUUUGUUAAAUUUCAUGAUGAAAUGAUAAACAUUAGGGAUAACCUUCAAUACGACUCUAUAAACCACAGUGUUGCAAAUGUUGCAGGCUUGAUGGAGAAUGUGCUUGGCAAGGGGGUGUAGGGCGUGGAACACUUGGCAGCGGAGGGGCAGGCAAACCGUGACUGACUCCUUCCAGGCUGAAUCCAGGCCGAGUUCAAACCACUGCCUGAGUCUGGCUUUUUUAUCCAAUAGGCUCUUGCCAGCACAAUCUCACCAUAUGAAUCAGGGGUGAAAUUUUGAUCCAUCUCCAACCAAUUCUAAAAUAAGAAAAAAGGCAGUAUCUCUUAGGCAAUAUAUCAACAUACAAUCAAACCAUUCCAAUUCAUUUUUAAAUUCUUUAUUAUUUCUCUUCAAUCUCUCUGAAAAUGUACUUUCUCCUUCUAAGUCGAUUCUCCAGAAUAGAAAAAAGAAUUGUAAAAAGGGAUUAAUAUUCCUAGUUUAAAGAUUUUGAUGUUUCUUUGUGAAGAUAUAAUAUCCCUGUACAACCUAGAAAAAAGAGAAAAUGUUAAUAAAUUCAUACUGUAUCA